AAUAUUAGUUAUUUUUAUUAAUGAGGUAUUAUGUUUUAUCAUUUGCUGUAUCAUACUUUUAUGAUUAUGAUAAAUCCAAUAGAUUAGGGCAAUGAUUUUAGGAUCAUGAUCAGAUCAUGCUAGUGAGAUCCAAAAUCUUGAUAGUUUCAAUCUAAAAUAGUUUUAAUCAUUGGAUCAUCGAGUCGGAGAUCGAUGACUCUGAUAAGACUGGUACAUCCUAUGUAUACUCGAUAGAGAGGGUGGUUCAUCUCACAACCACUUGUGUGGUGACACUAAUACAAAGAUGUAUGUGCU
RNAcentral lists this long non-coding RNA (294 nucleotides) under Elaeis guineensis (African oil palm). RNAcentral describes it as "long non-coding RNA (EGUI_LNC054493)". The record is from RNAcentral. Lineage: Eukaryota; Viridiplantae; Streptophyta; Magnoliopsida; Arecales; Arecaceae.